This is a long non-coding RNA of Poecilia latipinna (sailfin molly), 5949 nucleotides long. RefSeq lists it as uncharacterized. The transcript is spliced from 2 exons. The record is from RefSeq and is a predicted model, not a curated record. NCBI's taxonomy places the organism in Eukaryota, Metazoa, Chordata, Actinopteri, Cyprinodontiformes, Poeciliidae.
CUUUUCUCUGGAGACCAGGCGAGACUUUUCCAGGAGGUACUUCUCAACCACAGCCCUGAAAGAGGGAAUAGAAAACACGAGGAAAGGUUUCAAGCCUCUUGCAGCUCAUCAGUGAUCUUCAUCUCUGAACCGUAUUGACUUUCAGACCAUAUAUGGAAGUUCUGCAACCGAAUCUAAAGUGGAGUGUACUUCCACUUAAGCACGCAACUCUGCCAGCAAACUUACUUCAUCAACAACAACACCUCCCUGACAACAAAGAGGCCCGCUACCCGACGGCCCAACGCGCUUCUGUUCUGGCUGAAGCUGCAGAGCAGAGCGAGUCGAUUAAUCUGCCCUCCUCUCGCACGUUACUCAUCCAUCUCUUUCUGUUUUCCCCUUUCACUCGGCCUUAUCUGUGUGCAUCUCUGCAGGUAGGAGAGCGCAGAAGGUCAGCGAUGAUAAAUGAGUGGGGGCUGGCGCAGCAUGUGCAGACUGUAAGCAACAGAAAAGACUGUUUCCAUCUAAGGGGGUGGAGUGAUUUCCAGUCCAGCUAGAAGCUACCAGGCUUCACCGAGGGGCCCAGAACGCCGCAUCGGUAUGGUGACAGAGCAGCAGUACUUUUUUCUUCAUGAUGCGCAUGUUCACAUGGUUACACACACACACACACAAAACUAAAAGCCACCGCAGGGGAAGUUGACUCAGUGAAUGCUAAAUAGGAGCCACAUUGUGUUUUCCAAAGCAACAUGCAGGGUGAAUUUGAUAUAAACGCUCAGGUGCUGAUCAGAGUAUUGGGGACAAAUGCUGAUUUCUUGACUGCACUUCCUUUUUUUUUUUAUACCUCCCCGUUUUAAAUUAGUGCAAAACUUUUUUUCUUUUUUUUUCUUUGGGUGCAGAGAAAUCAUUCAAGCGAGAUGUCACUCUAUUCUGUAACACUUUCACACUUGAGGGACACGUCAGGUAAUGGUUUCUUGUUCAUGCGUGAUGAAAGAGGUGGGCUGAAGCGUGACACCGAUUCCCUCGAGUCAAACCAGAGCUUUUUAAGACUAAUUUGCAAACUCAAGCCCUGCAAAAGCAUCAAGAUGUCUUAAACUGAAAAACUCGAAAGUUACACACUGCUGAACUCCAUUUGCGAACGAGAUGCCUUCUGAAGGUUGCGCCAGAUUUUAUGCGGUGAUAUGAAGAGUUAAAAAGGCCUAAAUACACACAAAUGCCUGAAGAUUUUGAAAACAUUUUGUCACUCAGCUUCAUAAUUAGUUAACGGGGUUCUCCAACUCCUGUUCAUGACGACUUUAAAUUAUGACUCAUUAAGAAACUGUGCAGCCAUUUUAAAUAUAAAAAAAAGAGAACAAAAACAUCGAAUUACAUUUUGAAAAUAUGCAACAACUGACUCGCAAAGGAUUGCUUGGAUACAAUGCUAGGUCAAAGUGUUUAUAGGGUCAUUAAUUAAAACUUUGCUCAGUGGCGUGAACUUUUACUGGCUUUCAUGAUGACACCUGAUGUCAGCCUGAGAUGCUAAAGCUCAGAUGAUGGUGGUGAAGAGGAGAGUCAUGAGAAGAUGCAGGAUAAUUACAAACAAUAAUGUCUUUGCCAUAUUCAACACAAUUAUUGUUUUCCUACUAUUGUGCAGCCCCAACAUAAAAGGAAUAUUUUUUUUUUUUAGUAGCUUUAGUUUGAAGUUUUGUUUUAAUUUAAAAUGACAAUUCUUCCAUAGAAAAAUGAAAACAAAUUUCCUUUAUUGGAUUUCUUCUUAAUGUUUUUGUGGCUUCAAACUAAUUUCAUUCAUCUGGGACUGAGGGGCAAAAAUUGCUCUUUGGAUUGUAAAGGUUGCCGAGUUCUGGUCUGGCACAUAAAAUACAUUAGUUUGUGGUUGCAAUGUAGUUAAAAAAAAAAAAAAAGGUGAAACAGUUCAAGUACUCUGAGUAAUUUUGCAGGAGACUAACCCCUAACCCUUAUUCAAACUUCAAUUCCUGUGCUCAGAGUAUUGAUCCUGUGGCACAAUUGAGCUCAGCGCUCAAUGCUGCUCACUGUGCCCAGUUUUCUCCCCGGAUCCCCUCCCUCUCCCCCCGCACACCAGGAGCACAAAAACCCUGGGAAAUCUCUGCACGGCCCGCACUGCUGCACCACGGAGGGAAUUACAAACAUCUCGCAGCCUCGUUCGUAUUCAAACAUGCCCAUGAGCGUGAUCCGAUCUUUAAACUCAAUUGGCUGGAGCCCUCAGUAGGUAUGAGGAAGGAGACCGAGAGCUUGCCAAGCUGUGACUGUGGAAAAUAGACACGGCCUUACGAAACGGGGGUUUGCACACAAGGAGGUUAAGAAGAAAAAGGAGGGAAAUAAAGAAAGAGAGAACGAGAGAAGGAGGGAAGGGGACACGCGGGGCCACAGCACUGUGCAGUGUGUGCGCGCUGUCGGCCACGGUUGACUCAAAUCUCCCUGCACGCCACCGCUUCAACUGAUUUAUCUGUGCUGUGAGCUGGCUUUUCUGGUAGCACUGUUCCUGGUACGUUUCCACUCGUACCGCCAGACCCACCAGUAUGAAGUCUCACAUCCCUAUUUAGCACAUAAACUUGCACACAUACACACACACACAUACACACACACACACACUGUUCUCAACAAACACAGCAGGAGGCGUGCCUCUCAAACAGCACAGAUCAAGUUGUUUGCCUCAACAAGCAACACAAACAGAGCGAGCUUUGAAUGCGCCAAAAUAUGAAGCAAAAACUAAUUCAGUCAUAAGAUCUGUGACAGAUUUAAAAGGUCAUGGAGGGAGGACAACUUUCAAGGAUUUGGAUUGAUGUCAUAUGAAACCAAUUUAUGGAUAAUUCCAACCAAAAUGCAAGAAAACAAUUAUCAGUAAAAAAUGUGCUGCUGCUAGACCUCUUUUGGAUAGCUCUGAAACUUUGAGGAGCAAACCUCAAAACGAGCCAAAGGGCUUCAGCGAAAUGUUUCCACAGGGAGACGCCAAGCGGGCUCUGACACAGACGCCUCACUACAGCACGGGCACAACAAAAGUCAAUUCAAACAUUUCAUCGGGGACGUUUUAACUGUAGGAUCUCCAAACAACAAAAAUGUUGCGAUUUGAGACACAAUUUUGAAAAAGUUCCGUGAAUUUCGGGUUAAACCAGACGUACGGGGAAGUCGGGAGAUCAAGUAUGUAAACUCUGGUAACCGGGGCUAACCUCUCACAAUACCCUGUGACAAAAUAAUCAGUGUUUGCUGUCGGACUGAAUGAGUCUUUGGUGAGAUCACAUGUUGCUGGCAGAGACUGAACUCGACCGCGUCGCUACACAGUUCCUCCUCCGCACGGCUUCUCAUCAGGUCAUCAGUUUAUGACUCCGCUUACGUCUGAACCCUCGAAGUUUCUCUCAGCUGAACUAGCAAAACCAGCUAUGCAGAGGCAAAGUCAGUGGCUUUAGUAUUGACAUUGUAUGGUAGCUGAUUAAGUGCUGCCAAAUGAGUGUUUUUGUAUGUUGGAAAAAGAUCAACAAACAAACUUCUCUUUUGAAGUUUGUGGCAAAAAGAAAAAACCCUUUAGCUGCAAAAUAGCUGUAGAUCUGUUGCAGUUUGGGGUUUUUCACAAUUAUAUUUUUUAAAAAGUAGUAUCUAAAACCAAUAUUAUAACACAUUAUGAUGCUGCUCAUUUUAGACUUAAACACCUAUUCUUCACAAUCUAAUCUUUUCACUUUAGGAGCUGUCUGAAAACUGACUUUUUUCCUAUGAUCCCACAUUUGUUUCUCUUCAAGGGACAUUGAGUUUUUAGGUAGGGAAAUUGUUUUACUAACACCCAACGGCUCCCAUGGGCUGUGUUGAAUGCCAGCAUGAUGAAAAUAAAAUAGUGGUAAUGGUGGCUGAAGAAAGAAGAAUGUAAUUGCUUCAAGAUGCAAUGGCUGACAUUAGAAAUUCAACAUAUUCUUAGCAGUAAGUGAAAAACAAAUGAUCAAGAAAGGAUUUAAGAAAAUAAACCUUUUUUUUUCUCAACAGUCAUCAUUUUUCAACUACAGAGAGAAGUUAUUUAAACAUUAACAACAGAAACCCACAAACAUUUGCAAGAAGGGUGCAGUAUUUUUGGCUGCAUAUUUAAAAUGAGUGAAACAUGCACAGAUGGGAAAACGAGCUAAAAUAUGUCCUCCGGAAAAGCUGCAGCAAACGGAGCAAAUCAAGUUAUGAGGCGUCUGUGCAUCCGUCACAGAGAGAUCAUAAUCCAAACAUGGGGGAAACAGGAACAGACAGCUUCUCUUCCUCAUUUAGCCCGCAAAAAAAAUGUAAGUAAUUUUUGAUGCACGCUUGGCAACAUCUUAAACAACGCUGGACUUUCAGCCUCGAACGUGCUGCUUUCGCUAUAUUUUUAAUUGUGUAAAUGAGCACAAGUCAAAAAGUUUAAUUAGUUUUUUAUCUUAACUUAUAUAAUUUUGAAAAAUAUAUUAUUCCAGUUCAGUUCUUAAUAGAUGAACAAUCUCAUGCUUGUAAUUUAGCUCAGAUCUGAACGUUUAACAGGAAAUUACUGUUCUGUGCUUGUAUCGUAUUCCAAAAAUUAAAAUUAAAAUUAUAUUAACAUUUGUUUUUUUUUACUGAAUCUCUACCUACUAUUAUGCAUCAAAGCAUGAAUGUUUAUUUGAUUUUAUUUAAGUCAGGAUAGCAUUUAUAGCUUUUAGAUGAUGCAUUUACAGACUUAAAAACAUAGGACUCCUUGUUUUCAUGCAUUAAUUGAAAAUGAUUAUUUUCCUUUCACUUUUAACCAGAUAAAAAUGUAAAAAUGUAAAUGCCUGAGUAAAUCUAGAACUCACUCUACUGCCGGAUUAGAGUAACUUUAAAAGCCUGAAACUGAUCUCCGGCCAUUUUCCCAGUACAUCUCUAUUUCACCUGAACAGCCCUAUAGGUGAUCAUUCACUCAGGAGUAUAAAGGUUUAAAGUGACAAGUUAAUGCACAGACACGUUAAAGGUGCAGAGCUUUAAUAGCUGGGCCAGAGCGUCGAAUGCCAACUUGCGGUCCAGAGUUUUGCCAGAUUGGAACCAUAUAAAGCUGCUCCACCCAUGCCCUGAUGAGUCCCACAUCAAACUCCAGCUUGUGGUGUGGUCACAGCACCACGAAUAGCUGUUGAAACGGCCUGCAGACCGAUGCAGCAUGUACGCUGCACAGAGCCUGUAAAGAAAAGCAUAUUCUAGCCUUCAGUGAGUUCCUAUAUGGUGUGAUUACAGGAAGGUGUUUGCGUAUAAGUGUCUGUUUGGGCGUUUAGACGAAGAAUCACGGGCACGGCAAGGCGACUUAAACGCAGUAAUGCCAGCCUUUCCCAGACUCGUACACAAUGCCACCCCCUCUCAAUAACCACUCAUGCAGGAGAGAUAAACAAUAGAUCAGCAGGCAGAAUGGCCGGCUUCUCCUCCGCACUUCCUGAACAACAAUGCGGUGCUCUGGUGUGUCCACACCCUUCAAGGCUCUGAGCUAACAGCAGAGGGAACCACUGCCUUUGCUUCCUGUGUCGUAGCCGCUUCCUGUCGAAGGGUUCCGGAUGAUAGGAACUUCCUGUCUGAAGCCGUGAGACGGAGCGGCAUGGAGCAGGCCGGCCGGGGACUUUGAACAGGAAUGUUUGCUUUACUGGGACAACAAACUUAAGUUACAGGGCUAAUGUAGGGGCCCUCGCAGAGCGGUCCCCUGAGAGAAAGCAGAAAUAUGAUUCACACUUCAGCUGUUUUACUAAUUACCUGUAAUGUUGGCUUUACUUUGCCUGCUUCUUCCUCUUUAAAAACCUGAAUUGCUAAAAUGAUUUAGUUUCAUUCUCAAUAAGAGUUUAAUCUCAUUUCAAAUGUUACUGUAAAUCCAUUCGAAGGACUACUUAUCAAUCUGUUCCUAUUAAUAGAAACGGCUACAGUCGAAAGCAACACAAAGUGCUUCACAAAAGCUACAACCAAUGAAACAAGAAUGCAAAAGAGUUACAAUUCACACCAGAAAAUCAGAACUACAAAAAAAAAAAA